Molecule: small nucleolar RNA, 83 nt
Filed under: Plasmodium ovale (malaria parasite P. ovale)
Lineage: Eukaryota; Apicomplexa; Aconoidasida; Haemosporida; Plasmodiidae
Also listed under: 1 other name
Description: small nucleolar RNA snoR23
Rfam family: small nucleolar RNA snoR23
Source: Rfam by way of RNAcentral
UGCGUAUGAUGAGUACAAAAAAAAUUUUAACUUUCGUUCUUCUGUAUCGUUAGAAGUGAAGAUAAUUUUUAUGUCUGACGCGA